UCCUCUCUCUCUCUCUCUCUAUUCUGCCAUCUUUCUUGUCCUUUUCUUGGAGAAAUAUUAGCCUCGGGUGGGGGAGAGAGGAUUUAAGCCACGAUAAGGGAGGAGGAGGAGAUCUGAAGCCAAGGUCAAGCGGGUGGGAGAGACGUCGGAAGGGCGGUCGCUGUCGCGGAGGGAAGGGGGAGGAGGAGCGGGUGGGAGGGGGUGGUUGUGCUUGCCGCUUCCUGGUUCGCCGGUCCUCGUCCUGGCGAGCAAUGGAAACGUUCCGGUAGGUACUUAAAUCCUUCAUUCCUACUCAAUCCUUUGUCCGAUUUGGUUUUUCUAAAUAUCCUUUUUAUCAUGAUUACACUGAUUGGGUACUCAUUUAAGGCUCGGACACCUCUCAACUUGGUACCCGAACCGGAAACGAUUGGUU
Molecule: long non-coding RNA, 412 nt
Filed under: Phoenix dactylifera (date palm)
Lineage: Eukaryota; Viridiplantae; Streptophyta; Magnoliopsida; Arecales; Arecaceae
Description: long non-coding RNA (PDAC_LNC000991)
Source: RNAcentral